This 468-nucleotide ribosomal RNA is filed under the name uncultured bacterium. Its description in RNAcentral is "partial 16S ribosomal RNA". It matches the Rfam family "Bacterial small subunit ribosomal RNA", at positions 28 to 507 of the family's 1533-position model. The record is from RNAcentral.
GACGAACGCUGGCGGCGUGCUUAACACAUGCAAGUCGAACGGAAAGGCCCUGCUUUUGUGGGGUGCUCGAGUGGCGAACGGGUGAGUAACACGUGAGUAACCUGCCCUUGACUUUGGGAUAACUUCAGGAAACUGGGGCUAAUACCGGAUAGGAGCUCCUGCUGCAUGGUGGGGGUUGGAAAGUUUCGGCGGUUGGGGAUGGACUCGCGGCUUAUCAGCUUGUUGGUGGGGUAGUGGCUUACCAAGGCUUUGACGGGUAGCCGGCCUGAGAGGGCGACCGGCAACAUUGGGACUGAGAUACGGCCCAGACUCCUACGGGAGGCAGCAGUGGGGAAUAUUGCACAAUGGGCGGAAGCCUGAUGCAGCAACGCCGCGUGCGGGAUGACGGCCUUCGGGUUGUAAACCGCUUUCGCCUGUGACGAAGCGUGAGUGACGGUAAUGGGUAAAGAAGCACCGGCUAACUACGUG